Long non-coding RNA from Podarcis raffonei (Aeolian wall lizard), 1759 nucleotides. RefSeq lists it as uncharacterized. The record is from RefSeq and is a predicted model, not a curated record. The transcript has 3 exons. NCBI's taxonomy places the organism in Eukaryota, Metazoa, Chordata, Lepidosauria, Squamata, Lacertidae.
GUUGGUAUUAUCUACCCUGAUUGAAUGUGGUUCUCCAGGGGUUUCAGCUAGCAAGUCUCCCAGAUCUACCUGGAAAUGGCAGGGGCUGAAGCUGGGAACUUCUGCAUCUCAAGAAGAUGCUCUAUGACUAGGCUGAGCUUUCCCCAUUUAAAACUUUUUUCCCUAGAUAUAUGGGCCACAGAGAAUUUGAUAGUCACCAUGUGAAAUAUGAGCCUCAUUUGCCUAUGUGUGUGCGUGCGGGGAAGCACUGGGUGCUCAGGAUUUGCUGGAUUUGGGGGCAUGCAUUAAUUCUGCCUUUAUUACAUCACAGCUUGCUCCCUCAUCUGAAGGCAAUGUGAUUCUUCAGAGGUGUCUGCCCUUUUUGCUUUCUGCAGAACUGAGACACAAGGGCAAAUUCCUCUAUAGGAACACAGGAUGCUACCUUAUACAAAGUCCGACGGUUGGUCCAUCUAACUUAGUACAGUCAAAACUAACUAGCAGAGGUUCUCUGGGGUUUCAAAUAGGGAAUCAACCCAGCCCUGUCUGGGGAUGCCAGAUAUUGAACCUCUGGCCUUCUCAGUGCUUCCCCACCCGCAAGAGAAAUAGGUGCUGGAACUCACCACAAAGUUGUUACAGUAAGUCGUUGGGCAACUCAGGGCAACCCUGAACAAUUGCCGGUUUGACAACAAACCCACGGAGGUGCUAAAAGCUACUGCAAGUUGUCUCCCUAACCAGUUUGGAGUUCACCCCUGGUUCUGGUGCAGGUCAGAUAAAUGCACCCCUGCUUCCCUUAUUCUCUUAGAUUCAGGCAGGUGGCUAGGGCAUCUCAGAAAGGCCCUUGCAGAAACACACACAUGUGCAACAGUAGAGGCCUGGCAGGAAAGCUUAAAGCCUGCCGUUGCUACACGGGAGACUGAUUGAAGAAAAUGGAAUAUGAAUUUGCCCCACCCCAUAGCUUGACCAAUCACUGCUAGGAGCUAGGUGGAGUCAUAGUUCUGAAAAAAUUGUAGACUCACACAUGCUGACCAGCUUCCAUUUUGACUUGACAUGUUUGCUUUGGGCUUCUCAGAAGUACAUAAAAGGCAAGAAGCAGGUGGGAGGAUUGCCAGCCCACAAUGGCACCCACCUGAGAAGUGCCAGAACUGUGCUUCGACACACUCCGACUGAAAAAAAAAAAGCACUGGACCUUCUGCAUGCAUAGCAGGCCGGAUCUUCAUCUCGGUGAACUUGAGGGAGUACUGCCAGCCUGUCCAGGAGGACCACUCGAUGCCAUCGGCGUAGGAGCUGUGGUGACCCUUCAGGGCUGUACUUCAGUGGGGGAGCACAUGCUUCGUACAAAAAGGUCUCUGGGUCUAUCCUCUGCAUCCUCAGAUGCGGCUAGGAAUGUCCCUUUCCUGAAAUCCUGGAAAGCUGUUGCCAGUCAGUGUGGACUAUACUGAGCUUGAUGGAUGAAUGGUCUGACUCAGUAUCAGACAGCUUCAGAUGUUCCUACUUAAUUCAAUCAAUACUUAAGAACAUAAGAAGACCCUUGCAGGAUCAGGCCAAUGGUCCAUCUAGUCCAGCAUUCUGUCCUCACAGUGGCCAACCAGAUGCCUAUGGGAAACUGGCAGGCAGGAUCUGAGCACAAGAGCAGCACGCUCCCCUCCUUAAGUUUCCAGCAACUGGUAUUCAGAAAGCUUUGCUGUCUCCAACUAUGGAGGCAAAACAUAUCCAUCAUAGCUAACAGCUAUCAGCAGCCCUCCCCUCCAUGAUUUUGUCUAACCCUCUUUUAAAAGCAUCU